AGCAGCCGCGGUAAUUCCAGCUCCAAUAGCGUAUAUUAAAGUUGCUGCAGUUAAAAAGCUCGUAGUUGAAUUUCGGGACCAAUAUGUCGGUCGUGCCUCGGUACGUACUGGCUUAUUGGUUUCUCCUUUCUGAAGAACCAUGAUGUCAUUUAUUUGGUGUCGUGGGGAAUCAGGACUGUUACUUUGAAAAAUUAGAGUGUUUAAAGCAGGCUCACGCUUGAAUACAUUAGCAUGGAAUAAUGAAAUAGGACGUUUGAUUCUAUUUUGUUGGUUUCUAGGAUCGACGUAAUGAUUAAUAGGGAUAGUUGGGGGCAUUAGUAUUCAAUUGUCAGAGGUGAAAUUCUUGGAUUUAUUGAAGACUAACUACUGCGAAAGCAUUUGCCAAGGAUGUUUUCAUUAAUCAAGAACGAAAGUUAGGGGAUCGAAGACGAUCAGAUACCGUCGUAGUCUUAACCAUAAACUAUGCCGACUAGGGAUCGGAUGAUGUUAAUUUUUUAAUGUACUCAUUCGGCGCCUUAAC
Molecule: unclassified non-coding RNA, 520 nt
Filed under: uncultured Glomus
Lineage: Eukaryota; Fungi; Glomeromycota; Glomeromycetes; Glomerales; Glomeraceae
Description: SSU rRNA
Rfam family: Eukaryotic small subunit ribosomal RNA
Source: RNAcentral